RNAcentral lists this long non-coding RNA (6429 nucleotides) under Homo sapiens (human). Its description in RNAcentral is "small nucleolar RNA host gene 14". The record is from RNAcentral. Lineage: Eukaryota; Metazoa; Chordata; Mammalia; Primates; Hominidae.
UUUUUUUUUUUUUUUUUUUUUUUUUCAGAGUAUUUUCUUUCUUGUCCAGAUUAGCUAAAUUGGAUUGUUCUAUGCUAAAUUCACUUAAUCACUACUCUAUUAUUUUUGAAUUUUUUAGUUCUGUUUUUUUCACUUGGUUCUUUUUUUAAAAAAACUUCUACUACCUUUCUGAGACUUCUACUUUUUUACUUUUUUCAAGAAGCUUUAUAAUUACUUGCUAAAGCAUUUUUACCAUGACUGUUUUUAACUUCUUCAGAUAACCACAACAUUUGGUUAAUCUUGAGGUUGGCUUGGUUAACUGUCUUUUCUCAUCCUGCUUAUGAUUUUCCUUCUAAUUGUGAUUUUUCCGGUUCUUGAUAGAUGGGUGAUGUUUUAGUUUAUCCUGCAUUUUUUUUUCCUUUUUAAGUUAGAGGAAUCUGAAUCUAUUCAAAUGUUUUAUUUUAGCAGGCAUGUGCCCUGUUUAGGUUUAAUUUGAAUGUCCUGUCCUACUUUUGUAGGCCAUGUUUUCGCAGGCAGUCUUGCUAUCAGAGCUGAGGGGAUGCUGUUUUGAUCACUUAGUUUAUCUGAUGUUGCUGGGCCUCCAACUGGUGCUGACUGGUACUUCCUGAGAUGGCGAAGGUUUUUCUGUACUCUGAGAUGCCGUGUAUCUCUAUGUAAGGGGAGGAGACUCUGGACCACAGGAAUGAAGAGAACAUCUUAGGUCAGGCAGCUCAAUCAUAUGCGAUAACCUGGGUCAACCAGCCAGUAGCCUCAUGAAGUAUGGGAGGGAAUUCUCCAGUGUCAGCAUUCAAAGACAUCAUGAGUUUUUACUUCUCAUUUUCUUUUAAGUGAAAUAAUCGCAUGGAAAUUAAAGAAUAAAUAUAUGAAAUAUAUGAAACUUAUAUGAAAUAUAAGAAUGUGAGAAGGCCUACAGCGUGGGGAUCCCCAGGCUAUUUGAACAAUGAAUGUCUGUGUUACACAUCUUUGCUCACUUUUUCUCUAUUUUUGUAGUUCAUUGUGGAACCAGCACAGAUUUUCAUACGAAAGUUAUUUCUUUUUAACCUCAAAAAGUGACAGAAUGGAGUGUAUCAUGAAAAAGUCUGACAUCAAAACCUCAAAAUGUGAUAUUGAUUGGGUGAGAUAGAAUUCCAUGGAAUUUCAUUGCCAAACCAGUGAAGUGCUAAUUUUGACAUUUGUACCAGCUAACGUAGCUGUGAAGAAACACACCAAUACACUUCUAAGGACAGCAUAGACCAAGAUCUAGGUUUCAUAUGGAUGAAUUUAUUCUUCCCUUUGAGGCAAGACAAGAAGGAAAGAAAGUAUUGGGAAUAAUGCUGCCCUCCCAUCCUCAAGGGCCAGUGGGAACUCUAAUAUUGAUUGGUUUUCACAGAAUUCCAUGGACUUUAACUGCUGAACCAAUGAUGCACUGAUUUUGUCACUUGUACCAGCUAACGCAUCUGGGAGGCAACAAAACAAUACUCUCCUGAGGUUAAUGUGGACCAAAAACUAGAUUUCAUAUAAAAGAGUUUAUUCCUUCUACUUGAGGUGUGACAUGAAGGAAAGUAAUGGAAAUAAUUCUGCCCUCCCAUUCUCAAGGGCCAGGGGGAAUUCAAAUAUUGAACGGAAGUGAUUUUGGAAUUGCAUGGAAUUCUCACUGCCAUCCCAAAGAAAUGCUGAUCUUGUCACUCUUACCUGUUUCAUUCCCUGGGGGCAGAACAAAAGGACGCACUCCAAAGAUCGGCAUGAACCAAGAACUGGGUUUCAUAUAAAAUAUUUUAUUCUGUCCUCUUGAGAUGUGACAUGAGAAAAGUAUUGAGAAUACUUCUAUCACCUCAUCUUCAAGAAUCCGUAGGAAUUCUCCCAUGGUGGACUUUACGGUUAACCUGAACAGGUCUUGGAAAAAGGACUUUAAACAUUCUCCUGUUCUGUGGAAUAAGUAUACUUUUUUCUGGACAUACACCUUGUCAGUGAGUUCCAUGUGAUACUAGAGUUGCAUAGAUUUUUAACCUUUACGCCAAUGAAGAUCUGAGGCAAACAUUGCCCCUUUUUUAGAAGUUUGCAUUUGUCACUGAUAACUGUAAUAAUUGAUCUUGUUGAAAAGCCUGGGAAAUGAAGAUCUGAUAUGUCACUUUUACCGGCUUCCUCAACUGAAAAAGAAUACAAUGAAACACGCUGAGAAUUUUUGUGCUUUCUCAGUCUUGCUGAUGAUCUUUCUAUGGGCCUGAAGCGUGGAGAGUGCCAGAGAGGCUGAUCCUCAGCAGUGUGGCAGAGGAAAGUUGGGUGCGACUAAGGGGUAUGCGGUGCCCACAUGCCACUGGGUCCUCAGCAGUACCACCUGAUUGGAAGUGAUAUUGGUGGAAGACAACAUUUUGCCGCUUGGAAUUCUCACCUCCACACCAAAGAAGUACUGUUUUUGUCAUUUGCACCAGCUUCUUUCUCCAGGAAAGAUCAAAACGAUGCACUGCAAGUGUGAUUGGUCCAGAUAGCUGCCUUAUCCAACUGCCUCCUUUGGACCACUUCAUCAUGGGACAGCUUGAUGCAAUCUACUUGACAAGACCCUGGAACCCCACACCCCUCAUGGAACCAGUGUCCACCUCCCAGUCACAGUGUGACCCCAGGGAACUCUUGCCUGCUUGCUUUAAACCCACCACUUAAAAGUCUCCACAGAAAACCUGUUUGAAUAGUACCCUUGACCCAAUAAGGGCAUUGGCCCCUGGGUGUCUCUCUCUCUCUCUCUCUCUCUCUCUCCCUCUCUCUCCCUCUCUCUCUCUCGCUCCCUGACCUCUGCGUGUGGACUCCAGGCAUGCCAUAUACCCCUCAGGACCUGAAGCAAAAGAAUGAAUUAAAGAAAACUCCAGAGAAUGAGCUGACAACCUACUCCCUGGUCAGUGGCUCUCCAUGCCUACCUGUGGUCUCUUGGACACCCUUGCAGAAGAUGACUUCCUGGGAACUCUUCUGGGAGUGAAUGUUAUCAGCAAAUUCCCAAAACAACACCCCUUAGACAAAAAGCCUCCUCACCUAUGCAUUGCCUAGACCACCCACUAAAGGUGAUGGCCACAAAGAGGUGGAUUUGUUGAGUUGGUGCCAUUCCUUCUACUGCCAGCUUCACCAAAACAAUGACACAGUCUUCCUUCCGCAUGGAGACUCUUCUCUUUCCUGUGUUGCAGUGGAUGCCUCCUGCAGAUAAGAAAUGCUUAACUGAGAAAUGCUCAUGUUGGGAUAUCAUCGAUGAGACUUUAAUUUGGGCAUGGUGACUGUUUCCCUUGCUGCCACUUGACUCAAUCCCAGGAGCCUCAGUAGAGGAUAUAAUAUUACACAAGAUGCUCAAAAUGGUGGAAUUGCUCAGUGCUCCCAUAAAUAUACAUUUAUAAUUUUCAUUUGCCACAUGGUAAACUGAAAAAUACAGACUAUAUUAAAAAGAAACUGCAUGAUUUUUUUUCAAAAAUUCAAAGCAUAUUUAAAUAAUAUAUAAAUUAAAUGCCCUCCUCUCUUCCAAUUCUGUCCCUAUAGUUUUCCUCUAUUAAGUGAACUACAUGCAUUCUUUUAGUGGAUAGAUGCACACAAACACACAAGCCAUUAUGGGGAAGGAUCCACGUGUGUGGCCAUAUUGUAACACAUUUUUCUGCAAAUCACCUCUUUCAUUUAACAGCCCUUAUUCAAUGGCCUUUUUCUUUUUCAGUAGUACAUACACAUCUGUGUCAUUUGUUGAAUGACGACAUGAAUGUUUUGUAGAUAAAAUAUAAUUAAAUGUUUUAAGCAUUUCUCACUCAUAGAUAUUUAUGUUAGCACCAAAUUUCUGUGCAAUGAACCUCCCUAUAUAUCAGUAAUUUUGCAUUUGUCUAUAAUAUCAUAAUAAAUUACUUAUCAGUUGAAUUACUGGGAUUAAGUAUGUGCACACUUUAUAUUUAUAUUUUGAAAAUUAUUGCAAGAUUGCCUUCAAAAAUGUGGUUAACAACUUUAUCUUCAAAUGGCAAUGAAUGAGAUUGCCAGCUUUCCUACAGCCUCACAGACAAUGGAUUUUAUAAAUAUUUAACAUUUUUGCCAAUGUGAUCACCCAAACUAUUGUCUUAAAUUGUAUCUCUUUUGUUUUUGAGUUUGGUCAUUUUUUCAUGUUUAUUAGCCAUCUGUAUUUUUUAAUUUCUUCUUUAUGUCCAAUUUUGUGGGUGGGAGGAGGAUUUAGUCUCUUCCUGAUUUCGAAGAGCUCAUUUACUAUUUCGGGAAAUAAGAUUUGGAUUGUCAACCAUUAUAGCUAUUUUUUACACACUUUUCAACUUUGUUUUUGUUAUAAGAAUGUGUAUGAUUGUUACAUGUCCAAGUAUAACCAUGUUCGCUUUUAUGGCUUCUGAGUUUCAUGUCAUUUUUGGAAAGAUAUAUAUAUUGAGUCCAUAAAACCCUUCACCUAUGUUAAAUUCUAAUUCUUUUGUGUUUUUUUAAUUCAAAUUCUUAAAUCAUGAGAAAUUUUUUUGUUUUGAAAUCUUAAAGUUGCCAAGUUACUUGCCAUUACUUGCGAUUAUUUGCCAAUAAUUGCCCAUUUAUCUGUACCGCCAUCUUGCGCAUAUGCUGUACUCUCAUCUGUGACUGGCUCCAUUUUUGUUCUGUGGAUUUGUGUGUCUCUUCUUCUGCCUCCUGUCUCGUGUCUGCUCGUUGGAAGAAAUUACAGUUUAGACUGCAAUUUCAUCAACUUUAAUAAAUCAAUUGAGGGGAGAAUUGGUUUUUAAAAAUAUUAAGUAAGUCUUCGUAUCCAAGGACAAGGUAUGUCUUUUCUUAUUCAAUAAUUUUAAUUACUGUUAAUAUUUUCACUGUGGUGAUGGGAGUUUUUCUUUUAAUUUAUUUUCUUGUUCAUUUUUUGUAUCUAAAGUUUUUGUUUUGUUUUGUUUUGGGGGUAAGUUGUCACCUUACUGUUUCUUGUUGCUUUUCAGAUUUUUUCAAAGUAUAGACUAAAUCCUUCACAAAUAUUUAAAGUUUUUAUUUUCCCCCUUCAUAUUGAUCCUGAUUUUAGUUAUGUUGACAAAGUCCACAGACUGUUACUAUCAGAACACUUGAACAGUUAUGGAAAUAUUACCUACCCUUGAUUUAAUCAGAGUUUAAUGGUAUGCUUCUUUGGUUUGACUGGCACAUUGUCGCUGGUCAUUUCCUCCCAAAGACCACCAGAAAGAGCUAUGAUCAAGCAAAGCUGAGUUUGUUAAACUUACCUGCAGCAAGGGAAAACACCACCUUGAUAGGGUUUAAUAAUGUUUCAAAAUCAAGAAAUGAGGCUUUGGGGUCUGGGCAGGGAACUAAUUAGAAAUGGGCAAAAUUUGUCAUGCAAUACCUUGUGGGAAAGUGAGAUGAGGUUCUUAAUGUGAGUAUUGAUGGUGAAAUCAUUUUCUAGGUGAGCUGUUUGCCUAUAUAAAGAUGUUAUCAAUGACAGAAGAACUAUUUGCCUAGAUAAACAAACUGAAUUUAUUUAUUGGUUUACAGUUUUAUCUUGCUGGGCAGGACUCUGCUGGGGGUGGUAUCAGGUCUUAUUCCCAAUAGGUAAGUUAUUUGGAUAUGGGUGGUCUUAAUCAUCAAUGUGUAAAAUGCUGAUUUUAAGUGCGAAAUACUUUGUCUACCAUGUUAGGAAAGUCUGCCACCUUUUAUCUUUUUUAAGGAAUUUUAAUCAAAACCAGGUGGUAGAUAUAAUCAAAUUGUUUUGCAGAAUCAAUUUUCCUGUUCUCUUUAAAGACUUUUAUCACUGUGAAUUAAUUUACUAUUAUUGCAACUUCCUUUAAUUCCUUGAAUGAACAGACCCUACUGGUUUUAAAAAUGUUUUAUUCUUUUAAUUUACUACUUAAUUGUGGGUAUUUUAAUUUGAUUUGGAAUUUUUACAAGUAUACAACUAAGUGAAAUUGAUCUGUGAUUUUUCUUUUUUGUGCUAUUUUUGUCAUGUUUUGAUAUCAGAUAUUCUGGUUGUGUUAAAAUAAUUUUGAGGAUUUUCUUCUUAUACUGUGUUCUAGAGUGGGUAAAAAAGCCCUAGUCUCACUAUCAGUGUUUAAGUGAACACAUCAGUGACAUCAUCUGGACUCUCCUUUGUUUUUGCUGGUUUGGAGUUAGGACAUCUAGAAGUUUUUUUCUUUUUUUCCUUUUUUUGUAUGGUUAUUGCUUGUUCUUUGUUUUGUGUCAAAUUUAACCUGUUUUCUCUUAGCAAAUCACAGCUCAUGCAGAUUUUCAAACACAUUAGCCUUGUUAUACAAAGUGUUCUUUCAUCAUUCUAUUAAAUUUCCAUUUUCAUUCCAGUUAUAGUUAUUUCUGCUGUGCCUUUGUUAAUGAAUAAGUUUAAACAGUGGAUGUUUAGCAUCACUAGCCUUCCCCUUCCAUCUCCCUUAAUCAGGACCUUGGUAUAAUUUAUCAGGUAUUUUUUAAGGUUCUAAUUUACUUAUAUAUAUUGUUUCUGUAUUCUUUUGUUUCUUUUCUUAAUAAAUUCUUAAA